This is a long non-coding RNA of Lepidothrix coronata (blue-crowned manakin), 551 nucleotides long. RefSeq lists it as uncharacterized. The record is from RefSeq and is a predicted model, not a curated record. The transcript has 3 exons. Lineage: Eukaryota; Metazoa; Chordata; Aves; Passeriformes; Pipridae.
UCAUAAAUCAACCUCAAGGAGAGAGUAUGCUGAAUCCCUGUUGCAUAGCACUUAGAUCAUUCUUGUUCAGCUCGAGUGUUGGUAAUCUUUUGUCUUUGAGAAUGAUGAGGAAUUAGUGAGAUUAGAAAAUAUUUAGAAAUUCAAUAGAACUUCUGGGUCUGCAUUUUGUUGAUUUUCAAAUGAAAGUUCAAAUAAUUUGUACUUUCUGUCACCUACUACUUAAUAUUUGGAAGAUAUUUCCUGAAACAUCAGAAAUGUCAGCCUGCAGAGCAUACCUAGGGUAGUGAGCUGGAGAUUGCCUUUUUUUGGAGCAGUGGGCAGCAAACUCUUUGGUAUCAGAGAUCUUGAGGUGGGCAGUGUCACCAGUGCAUCCCCUCAGGCGCCUCCUCUCUGAAAGGAACCUGGCCAAGGGACCCCAAGGUGCUGGACUCCACUGUGAGAAGUAUUCCAGCUCAGCCUGAAAGGAAGGUGUGGAUCUUUGGAUAAUGUGAAGGACAUCUCAGAUCUGACUUUUUCUCUGGAUGAAGGACUCAAUCUUACACCAGGAUUCA